UGGAAGUGCUCGCAAGAGAACCGGAACACAGGUGCUGCAUGGCUGUCGUCAGCUCGUGUCGUGAGAUGUUGGGUUAAGUCCCGCAACGAGCGCAACCCUUGUCAUUAGUUGCUACGAAAGGGCACUCUAAUGAGACUGCCGGUGACAAACCGGAGGAAGGUGGGGAUGACGUCAAGUCCUCAUGGCCCUUAUGGGUAGGGCUUCACACGUCAUACAAUGGUCGGGACAGAGGGUCGCCAACCCGCGAGGGGGAGCCAAUCCCAGAAACCCGAUCGUAGUCCGGAUCGCAGUCUGCAACUCGACUGCGUGAAGUCGGAAUCGCUAGUAAUCGCGGAUCAGCAUGUCGCGGUGAAUACGUUCCCGGGUCUUGG
Molecule: ribosomal RNA, 371 nt
Filed under: Achromobacter sp. VA54
Lineage: Bacteria; Pseudomonadati; Pseudomonadota; Betaproteobacteria; Burkholderiales; Alcaligenaceae
Description: bacterial SSU rRNA
Rfam family: Bacterial small subunit ribosomal RNA
Source: RNAcentral